This 468-nucleotide ribosomal RNA is filed under the name uncultured bacterium. RNAcentral describes it as "partial 16S ribosomal RNA". It matches the Rfam family "Bacterial small subunit ribosomal RNA", at positions 28 to 507 of the family's 1533-position model. The record is from RNAcentral.
GACGAACGCUGGCGGCGUGCUUAACACAUGCAAGUCGAACGGAAAGGCCCUGCUUUUGUGGGGUGCUCGAGUGGCGAACGGGUGAGUAACACGUGAGUAACCUGCCCUUGACUUUGGGAUAACUUCAGGAAACUGGGGCUAAUACCGGAUAGGAGCUCCUGCUGCAUGGUGGGGGUUGGAAAGUUUCGGCGGUUGGGGAUGGACUCGCAGCUUAUCAGCUUGUUUGUGGGGUAGUGGCUUACCAAGGCUUUGACGGGUAGCCGGCCUGAGAGGGUGACCGGCCACAUUGGGACUGAGAUACGGCCCAGACUCCUACGGGAGGCAGCAGUGGGGAAUAUUGCACAAUGGGCGGAAGCCUGAUGCAGCAACGCCGCGUGCGGGAUGACGGCCUUCGGGUUGUAAACCGCUUUCGCCUGUGACGAAGCGUGAGUGACGGUAAUGGGUAAAGAAGCACCGGCUAACUACGUG